RNAcentral lists this ribosomal RNA (185 nucleotides) under uncultured bacterium. RNAcentral describes it as "partial 16S ribosomal RNA". It matches the Rfam family "Bacterial small subunit ribosomal RNA", at positions 973 to 1159 of the family's 1533-position model. The record is from RNAcentral.
ACCAGGUCUUGACAUCUUGCGCCAACCCUAGAGAUAGGGCGUUUCCUUCGGGAACGCAAUGACAGGUGGUGCAUGGUCGUCGUCAGCUCGUGUCGUGAGAUGUUGGGUUAAGUCCCGCAACGAGCGCAACCUUUGUUACUAGUUGCCAGCAUUCAGUUGGGCACUCUAGUGAGACUCCCGUUAAC